UAGGGAAUCUUCCGCAAUGGACGCAAGUCUGACGGAGCAACGCCGCGUGAGUGAAGAAGGAUUUCGGUUCGUAAAACUCUGUUGUUAGAGAAGAACAGCGCAUAGAGUAACUGUUAUGCGUGUGACGGUAUCUAACCAGAAAGCCACGGCUAACUACGUGCCAGCAGCCGCGGUAAUACGUAGGUGGCAAGCGUUGUCCGGAUUUAUUGGGCGUAAAGCGAGCGCAGGCGGUCAAUUAAGUCUGAUGUGAAAGCCCCCGGCUCAACCGGGGAGUGUCAUUGGAAACUGAUUGACUUGAGUGCUGAAGAGGAGAGUGGAAUUCCAUGUGUAGCGGUGAAAUGCGUAGAUAUAUGGAGGAACACCGGUGGCGAAAGCGGCUCUCUGGUCUGUAACUGACGCUGAGGCUCGAAAGCGUGGGGAGCGAACAGG
RNAcentral lists this ribosomal RNA (429 nucleotides) under Bacteroidota bacterium. RNAcentral's name for it is "Bacteroidetes bacterium partial 16S ribosomal RNA". It matches the Rfam family "Bacterial small subunit ribosomal RNA", at positions 355 to 776 of the family's 1533-position model. The record is from RNAcentral. Lineage: Bacteria; Pseudomonadati; Bacteroidota.